RNAcentral lists this ribosomal RNA (513 nucleotides) under uncultured organism. RNAcentral describes it as "bacterial SSU rRNA". It matches the Rfam family "Bacterial small subunit ribosomal RNA", at positions 64 to 564 of the family's 1533-position model. The record is from RNAcentral.
GUACGCGAAAGUUGCCUUCGUGUGGCGUGUAGAGUGGCGAAAGGGUGAGUAAUGCAUGGUUAACAUACCCUGGAGACCGGGAUAACUUGCUGAAAGGCGGCUAAUACCGGAUGUUCCCACGGGAUAAACGGCGGGGUCCUUCGGGACCUGCUGCUCCAGGAGUGGACCAUGUCCCAUCAGUUAGUUGGUGAGGUAAGAGCUCACCAAGGCAAUGACGGGUAGCUGGUCUGAGAGGAUGGUCAGCCACACUGGGACUGAGACACUGCCCAGACUUCUACGGGAGGCUGCAGUCGAGAAUCAUCCGCAAUGGGCGCAAGCCCUGACGGUGCGACCGCGUGUUGAAGGAUGAAAGGCCUUCGGGUUGUAAACUUCUAACACGGGUUAAGAAAACGCCUGGGAUAAAUAGUGUCGGGUUUGACUGUACCCCCGAGAUGAAGCACUUGGCUAACUCCGUUGCCAGCAGCCGUGGUAAUACGGAGAGUGCAAGCGUUACUCGGAAUCACUGGGCUUAAA